RNAcentral lists this long non-coding RNA (225 nucleotides) under Pelobates cultripes (western spadefoot toad). Lineage: Eukaryota; Metazoa; Chordata; Amphibia; Anura; Pelobatidae. The record is from RNAcentral.
GUCAUGAAACUUUUUUACACCGGACACAAUAGCUAAAGCCUCCUUGUCAAUUUGGGCGUAAUUCCUCUCUGUAGUAAAGUCCGUGAAUAAAACGCAAUAGGAGCCUCAACCCCAUUUCUCAAAGUGUGGCUCAAUACAGCCCCUAUGCCAUACGGAGAAGUAUCGCAGGUGAGGUUGAGCGGUUUCUCCAAAUCGUAGUGUACAAGCAAACUGUCAGAAGACAAC